UACGGAGGAUCCAAGCGUUAUCCGGAAUCAUUGGGUUUAAAGGGUCCGUAGGCGGUCUUGUAAGUCAGUGGUGAAAGCCCAUCGCUCAACGGUGGAACGGCCAUUGAUACUGCAGGACUUGAAUUACUAGGAAGUAACUAGAAUAUGUAGUGUAGCGGUGAAAUGCUUAGAGAUUACAUGGAAUACCAAUUGCGAAGGCAGGUUACUACUAGUGGAUUGACGCUGAUGGACGAAAGCGUUGGGUAGCGAAACAGG
Molecule: ribosomal RNA, 255 nt
Filed under: uncultured bacterium
Lineage: Bacteria
Description: partial 16S ribosomal RNA
Rfam family: Bacterial small subunit ribosomal RNA
Source: RNAcentral